RNAcentral lists this ribosomal RNA (795 nucleotides) under Enterococcus faecalis. Its description in RNAcentral is "bacterial SSU rRNA". It matches the Rfam family "Bacterial small subunit ribosomal RNA", at positions 23 to 789 of the family's 1533-position model. The record is from RNAcentral. Lineage: Bacteria; Bacillati; Bacillota; Bacilli; Lactobacillales; Enterococcaceae.
CUCAGGACGAACGCUGGCGGCGUGCCUAAUACAUGCAAGUCGAACGCUUCUUUCCUCCCGAGUGCUUGCACUCAAUUGGAAAGAGGAGUGGCGGACGGGUGAGUAACACGUGGGUAACCUACCCAUCAGAGGGGGAUAACACUUGGAAACAGGUGCUAAUACCGCAUAACAGUUUAUGCCGCAUGGCAUAAGAGUGAAAGGCGCUUUCGGGUGUCGCUGAUGGAUGGACCCGCGGUGCAUUAGCUAGUUGGUGAGGUAACGGCUCACCAAGGCCACGAUGCAUAGCCGACCUGAGAGGGUGAUCGGCCACACUGGGACUGAGACACGGCCCAGACUCCUACGGGAGGCAGCAGUAGGGAAUCUUCGGCAAUGGACGAAAGUCUGACCGAGCAACGCCGCGUGAGUGAAGAAGGUUUUCGGAUCGUAAAACUCUGUUGUUAGAGAAGAACAAGGACGUUAGUAACUGAACGUCCCCUGACGGUAUCUAACCAGAAAGCCACGGCUAACUACGUGCCAGCAGCCGCGGUAAUACGUAGGUGGCAAGCGUUGUCCGGAUUUAUUGGGCGUAAAGCGAGCGCAGGCGGUUUCUUAAGUCUGAUGUGAAAGCCCCCGGCUCAACCGGGGAGGGUCAUUGGAAACUGGGAGACUUGAGUGCAGAAGAGGAGAGUGGAAUUCCAUGUGUAGCGGUGAAAUGCGUAGAUAUAUGGAGGAACACCAGUGGCGAAGGCGGCUCUCUGGUCUGUAACUGACGCUGAGGCUCGAAAGCGUGGGGAGCAAACAGGAUUAGAUACCCUG